UGGGGAAUUUUGGACAAUGGGCGCAAGCCUGAUCCAGCCAUGCCGCGUGCGGGAAGAAGGCCUUCGGGUUGUAAACCGCUUUUGUCAGGGAAGAAAUCUUCUGAGUUAAUACCUCGGGAGGAUGACGGUACCUGAAGAAUAAGCACCGGCUAACUACGUGCCAGCAGCCGCGGUAAUACGUAGGGUGCAAGCGUUAAUCGGAAUUACUGGGCGUAAAGCGUGCGCAGGCGGUUUUGUAAGACAGAGGUGAAAUCCCCGGGCUCAACCUGGGAACUGCCUUUGUGACUGCAAGGCUUGAGUGCGGCAGAGGGGGAUGGAAUUCCGCGUGUAGCAGUGAAAUGCGUAGAUAUGCGGAGGAACACCGAUGGCGAAGGCAAUCCCCUGGGCCUGCACUGACGCUCAUGCACGAAAGCGUGGGGAGCAAACAGGAUUAGAUACCCUGGUAGUCCACGCCCUAAACGAUGUCAACUAGUUGUUGGGGAUUCAUUUCCUUAGUAACGUAGCUAACGCGUGAAGUUGACCGCCUGGGGAGUACGGCCGCAAGAUUAAAAGCUCAAAUGAAUUGACGGGGUCAUAGCUG
This 580-nucleotide ribosomal RNA is filed under the name uncultured bacterium. RNAcentral's name for it is "partial 16S ribosomal RNA". It matches the Rfam family "Bacterial small subunit ribosomal RNA", at positions 355 to 932 of the family's 1533-position model. The record is from RNAcentral.